ACAAGACAGUGUGGCUUCUCAAGGGAUAUGUCCAAUGAUGGUGGAUGAGCUUUCAACUGUAGUGAUACUGAUGAAACAUUUUAAAGAGAUUUAGAUCGAAGAAAUGGAGAUAUCUUCAAUAAACUAAGAACUUCUAAUCCAGUAAAAAUAAUGGACUCUCUUGACCAGAUGAUUUUGAUGCUUUCAUCAAGCUUCCCAAGGCUCCAUAUAUCUCGUUUGACUUGGAAUGCCUCUCGUCGAAGCAAUAGAACUCAGCCACUUCAUCAGCAACCUCAAUCAAGCUGCAUCCUGGAACCUUACGGGAUCCAG
Molecule: unclassified non-coding RNA, 309 nt
Filed under: Hevea brasiliensis (rubber tree)
Lineage: Eukaryota; Viridiplantae; Streptophyta; Magnoliopsida; Malpighiales; Euphorbiaceae
Source: RNAcentral